Long non-coding RNA from Eublepharis macularius, 284 nucleotides. RefSeq lists it as uncharacterized. The transcript has 3 exons. NCBI's taxonomy places the organism in Eukaryota, Metazoa, Chordata, Lepidosauria, Squamata, Eublepharidae. The record is from RefSeq and is a predicted model, not a curated record.
UGGUUACCGUGGAGGCCUGUGGGCGGGGAGUCCCGUGACGGGUAGCUCAGUGCGCGGUGACGGCGGCCGGCAGGCAGGAGAGGAGAACGGGGGGAGGGGGGCCAGCGAUAGCGGCCGAGGGGGAUGGCGGCUCCUUCACGGAGUGAUAGAGGGAAGAGCCUCAUGCUCCACUUGUCAGAGUUACAGUGAACUGAAUGGAUGUCCGUUUGUCUUGUCUCAAGGCAAGUCUUAUUCAUCCCAACUGAACAGGCAGAUCAUUUCAAUUGUUGUCAGGGAGAAUGCCU